UGUGACUCCAUGUGCGCGGAGAGUUCGUCAGCUCCCGGUCCCCGCCUGCGCCCGCAGGGGGAGGGGAAGGGAAGGGCCGCGUGCGCGGGCCGGGCCGGGCUCAGCUCCGAGGAGCUGCCUGAGUUCUGCUCCUGGACACCCGGCUCAGGAGCGUUAUCAGCAUGGAAGCAUGUCCUCUGGAAUGGUGGCCGAAGCAUGAAGGGGCAUAUGAAUGUUUAGCAUACCUGACACAUAAAUACCUUGCAACAUCGGCUACAAAAGUGCCAUGCAAACGCCUGUUCUCACUUUCAGGUGACAUUGUAAAUAAGAAGCAGUCAGCAGUAUCUCCCGUAAAUGUAAACAAACUUGUUUGUCUUAGCGAUUGGCUGAACAAGAAGUAGGACUGUGUGGACUUGUAGGCUCUAAAGUUUUACAUUGCUUUGUUUUUGAGUGCAGUUAUGUAACAAAAAAAAAUCUACAUUUGUAAGUUACACUUUCACGGUAAAGAGAUUGCACUACAGUACUUGUAUGAGGUGAAUGGAAAAAUACUAUUUCUUUUAUCAUUUUUAGUGCAAAUAUUUGUAAUAAAAAAUAAGUGAGCACUGUA
Molecule: long non-coding RNA, 586 nt
Organism: Malaclemys terrapin pileata
Lineage: Eukaryota; Metazoa; Chordata; Testudines; Emydidae
Exons: 2
Source: RefSeq, a predicted model, not a curated record